GACGAACGCNGGCGGCGUGCCUAAUACAUGCAAGUAGAACGCUGAAGGAGGAGCUUGCUUCCCUGGAUGAGUUGCGAACGGGUGAGUAACGCGUAGGUAACCUGCCUGGUAGCGGGGGAUAACUAUUGGAAACGAUAGCUAAUACCGCAUAAUAGCAGUUAUUGCAUGAUAACUGUUUGAAAGGUGCAAUUGCACCACUACCAGAUGGACCUGCGUUGUAUUAGCUAGUUGGUGGGGUAACGGCUCACCAAGGCGACGAUACAUAGCCGACCUGAGAGGGUGAUCGGCCACACUGGGACUGAGACACGGCCCAGACUCCUACGGGAGGCAGCAGUAGGGAAUCUUCGGCAAUGGACGGAAGUCUGACCGAGCAACGCCGCGUGAGUGAAGAAGGUUUUCGGAUCGUAAAGCUCUGUUGUAAGAGAAGAACGAGUGUGAGAGUGGAAAGUUCACACNGNGACGG
RNAcentral lists this ribosomal RNA (463 nucleotides) under uncultured bacterium. RNAcentral's name for it is "bacterial SSU rRNA". It matches the Rfam family "Bacterial small subunit ribosomal RNA", at positions 28 to 475 of the family's 1533-position model. The record is from RNAcentral.